AUUUAUUCUGGAUGUCCUCCUGGUUCUCUCCAGUGAACAUGAGUCUCCUAGUGAAAACUGGGGGUUAGGUGUAGAUCAUUAGGAGCCUCUCCAUAUAAAAGGGAAAUGGCUACCACUGUUUUAGGUAUUCUGGGAUUACCCUCAUCUGAGCUGCUGCUUGAAGUCUUCUGCUUGGUGUAACUCCUGAAGCAGAUGGGGAGGGAGGUUCCUAAUUGAGAUGUAGCUGCAGAAGAUUUUGAAAUCAUCUACUUCUUCUGCUGGAGCCAACUAUUAAAAAACUUGACAA
This is a non-coding RNA of Electrophorus electricus (electric eel), 286 nucleotides long. The record is from RefSeq and is a predicted model, not a curated record. NCBI's taxonomy places the organism in Eukaryota, Metazoa, Chordata, Actinopteri, Gymnotiformes, Gymnotidae.